GGAUAAGUGGUCGAGUGGUUUAAGGCGUUAGUUUUGAAAACUAUUGUAUUGUAGAAUACCGUGGGUUCGAAUCCUACCUUAUCUU
This 85-nucleotide transfer RNA is filed under the name Skeletonema tropicum. Its description in RNAcentral is "tRNA-Ser". It matches the Rfam family "tRNA". Rfam says of the family: Transfer RNA (tRNA) molecules are approximately 80 nucleotides in length. Their secondary structure includes four short double-helical elements and three loops (D, anti-codon, and T loops). Lineage: Eukaryota; Bacillariophyta; Thalassiosirophyceae; Thalassiosirales; Thalassiosiraceae. The record is from RNAcentral.